RNAcentral lists this ribosomal RNA (497 nucleotides) under uncultured bacterium. RNAcentral's name for it is "partial 16S ribosomal RNA". It matches the Rfam family "Bacterial small subunit ribosomal RNA", at positions 28 to 507 of the family's 1533-position model. The record is from RNAcentral.
GAUGAACGCUGGCGGCGGGCCUAAUACAUGCAAGUCGAGCGAACAGACGGUAAGCUUUCUCCUCUGACGGUGGCGGCUGGCGGGUGAGUGAGACGUGCAUCACCUUCUUCUAAUACGGGGAUGACUUCGGGAAACAGGUUAUAAUACUGGAGAAUAUAUUCAACCGCAUGAAUCAAUAGUGAUAGACAGUUUUGCUGUCACUUAUAGAUGGUGCCGCGCCGGAUUAGCUAGUUGGUAAGGUAACGGCUUACCAAGGCGACGAUGCGUAGCCGACCUGAGAGGAUGAUCAGCCACACUGGAACUGAGACACGGUCCAGACUCCUACGGGAGGCAGCAGUAGGGAAUAUUCCACAAUGGGCGAAAGCCUGAUGGAGCCACGCCGCGUGAGUGAUGAAGGUCUUCGGAUUGUAAAGCUCUGUUAUUAGGGAAGAACAGCUGUGUAAGUAACUCUCCAUGUCUUGACGGUACCUAAUCAGUAAGCAACGGCUAACUACGUG